RNAcentral lists this ribosomal RNA (434 nucleotides) under uncultured Lachnospiraceae bacterium. RNAcentral's name for it is "bacterial SSU rRNA". It matches the Rfam family "Bacterial small subunit ribosomal RNA", at positions 341 to 792 of the family's 1533-position model. The record is from RNAcentral. Lineage: Bacteria; Bacillati; Bacillota; Clostridia; Lachnospirales; Lachnospiraceae.
ACGGGAGGCAGCAGUGGGGAAUAUUGGGCAAUGGGCGCAAGCCUGACCCAGCGACGCCGCGUGAGUGAAGAAGUAUUUCGGUAUGUAAAGCUCUAUCAGCAGGGAAGAUAAUGACGGUACCUGACUAAGAAGCCCCGGCUAACUACGUGCCAGCAGCCGCGGUAAUACGUAGGGGGCAAGCGUUAUCCGGAUUUACUGGGUGUAAAGGGAGCGUAGGCGGCGCAGCAAGUCAGAUGUGAAACCCCGGGGCUUAACCUCGGGACUGCAUUUGAAACUGCAGUGCUAGAGUGCGGGAGAGGUAAGCGGAAUUCCUAGUGUAGCGGUGAAAUGCGUAGAUAUUAGGAAGAACACCAGUGGCGAAGGCGGUUAGCUGGACAAUAACUGACGCUGAGGCGCGAAAGCGUGGGUAGCAAACAGGAUUAGAUACCCUGGUA